AAAGUCGCGGUUCCGGUGUUCAGGAUGCCAGGGAUGAUGGGAAGCCUGUUCUUGUUUAUCGGUUUGUACGGAACUUCACCCGCGGUAGAGUACGGCCUGAGAAUUUUGUUCCAGCACCGGUGUGAGGAAAACAUCUGAGCCCAUGAAUUGCCAGACCCUGGAUACCUGAGACACAUCCACUUGCUUCUCAGGUUUGGAGUGCAUAAUGAGGAGAAAUAAAAACAGAAAGAUCUCCAGAAAGAAGCCAUGGUAAGAUUCAAGGUUUCACAGUCCAAGCUAAUGCCUGUGGACACUUGACCAAGUGAUCUGAGAAAAUUGGAUUUCUGGCAAAACAAGUGUACCUAGACUCAGGCAAGGGUGGAGAACAGAGGGCGACUAGAUUAAAUGGAAAGAAUGCCCAGGCAUCCCAUUGCCUCCCUUUGACGUUCCAGAACUUCAUCAAGACAGUGAUGAGCUACAUGUACACCUGGAGGAGGACCAUGCAGAAUACCAUCCAGCGCCAUGAACACUAGUCAGUCAGUCAGUAAUGGUGGGCUUCUUGGUGUGCUCCAGCUCAAUUUUCUCAUGUUUGAUGAUUAGUUCAGGAUCAAGCUCAGAAGCGCACAGCUGCCAGCAAGCAGUCUACUACUGAACUGCACCAUCUCUCCAGCCUGUGCUUACUCUUGAAUAGCCCCAAAGUAGUCAAUGGGCUAUUUGGUACUGGACAACCAAUUGGAGUGUUGUUUGCGGGGGAGGACCACCUCUCCAGGUAGAAUCUAAACAUCAGAAAAUCAACAACCCAGUUAAAAUAAUCUAGAGCACUAACCAGAGCGUUCUCAGAAGAAGCACUACAAACGGCUAAGAAACACGAGACUGCUCAACAUCCUUUGCCAUCAGGGAAACACAGAAGCUCACUUUUCAGUUUUCAUCUUUCUGGAGUCAGAAUGGUUAUCGUCAAGAAUGCCAGUGACAUGGAUGUAGAGGACGGAUUCCUUCAUUGUCUAAGUCUCUGGAAAUAGUGCAGAAGAGUAGUCAGGGACUAAAAGAUGGAAGACAGAAAGGGCUGCAAAGUUCCAUCCUAGAGACUCAAUACAGCCAUUGCAAUGAUGAACUCACAAAAACUGCAUUUACCUGAACUUAGCCUGCUCAAGACAUUGAAAGUGUUUCAAAGUAGCUUUUCCUGUUGUGAAUGUACCUCUCAGCUAGUCUGGUUUCUGGUUCAGAGCUCUUAGGCACAGAGUUGUCUUGAACAUUUGCUUACAGGCACUUGUGUAGAUAUCAGCUGCUUUUUUUUGUUAAAUCUCUGAAAUAAAUGCCUAGGCGUUCAAUGGCAAUGUUAUAUCAGUAUGUAUUUAGCUUAGUUUUAAAAUAAGAAACUGUCAAAUACUUUUGUAGAAUUACUGGACCAUUUUACACCCCUGCCAACAAAGUAAGAUUGAUCCAGCUCCCCACAUUCUCAUAAACAUUUGUUUUUGUUUCUUUAAGAAGACAAGUUAACCAUUCCAUUUAUUGAGAAUUUACUUACCAUUCAGUGCAUUGCUUAGAUAUGUAGUAUUCAGUUUUUAGUACACAUACAAGGUUGUGUAUCGAUUACUACUAAUUCCAGAACAUUUCCAUUACCAUAGAAAAAGAAACCCAAUAUUCAUUUUCAUCUCUCCUCUAUGGACUUACCUAAUCUAGAUAUACCAAAUAAAUGGAAUUUUUAUAAAAUAUGACCUUUUGUUUGGCUUCUUUCAUUUAGAAUAGAAUUUCAAGGUUUCUCCAUGUUCUACCAGCCUUCAAAUUAAUUUCAGUUGUUGUGCUUUCAGGUUUCAGAAUUUCUUUUCAUUUUCUGUUUAUAAUUUCAAAAUUAUUGUUUAAUAUCUAUUUAAUAAAACAGGUGUUUUGAAAUAUAU
Molecule: long non-coding RNA, 1874 nt
Filed under: Mus musculus (house mouse)
Lineage: Eukaryota; Metazoa; Chordata; Mammalia; Rodentia; Muridae
Description: RIKEN cDNA 5530601H04 gene
Source: RNAcentral